This is a small nuclear RNA of Cynocephalus volans (Philippine flying lemur), 167 nucleotides long. RefSeq annotates it as U1 spliceosomal RNA. The record is from RefSeq and is a predicted model, not a curated record. NCBI's taxonomy places the organism in Eukaryota, Metazoa, Chordata, Mammalia, Dermoptera, Cynocephalidae. The transcript has a single exon.
AUCGAUACCUGCCAGGAGAGAUACCAUGAUCGUGAAGGUGAUUUUCCCAGGGUGAGGCUUACUCACUGACUUAUGGAUGUGCUGACCCCUGCCAUUUCCCCAAAUGUGGGAAACUCAAUAACUGCAUAAUUUGUGGUAGUGGAGAACAGCAUUUAUGCUCUCCCCAG